GUGCGCGGCGGGCUGUCGUUGGCUGGAGCAGCGGCUGCGCGGGUCGCGGUGCUGUGAGGUCUGCGGGCGCUGGCAAAUCCGGCCCAGGAUGUAGAGUUGGCAGUGCCUGACGGCGCGUCUGACGCGGAGUUGGGUGGGGUAGAGAGUAGGGGGCGGUAGUCGGGGGUGGUGGGAGAAGGAGGAGGCGGCGAAUCACUUAUAAAUGGCGCCGAAGCAGGACCCGAAGCCUAAAUUCCAGGAGGGUGAGCGAGUGCUAUGCUUUCAUGGGCCUCUUCUUUAUGAAGCAAAGUGUGUAAAGGUUGCCAUAAAGGACAAACAAGUGAAAUACUUUAUACAUUACAGUGGCUGGAAUAAAAAUUGGGAUGAGUGGGUUCCGGAGAGCAGAGUACUCAAAUACGUGGACACCAAUUUGCAGAAACAGCGAGAACUUCAAAAAGCCAAUCAGUAAGUUUGUUUUGUGAACUGAAUAUUAAGGAGAAAUGCCUGUAGAUUAAUUUUGGACAUGGAAUGAACAAUGGAGAUCAUGUUGGCUGCCCUGCCUAUAAAAUGAUUCCUGGUACCUCUCAGCUGCUGUGUUACAGCUUUGACUUC
RNAcentral lists this small RNA (591 nucleotides) under Pongo abelii (Sumatran orangutan). Its description in RNAcentral is "retained intron". Lineage: Eukaryota; Metazoa; Chordata; Mammalia; Primates; Hominidae. The record is from RNAcentral.